This 337-nucleotide ribosomal RNA is filed under the name uncultured bacterium. RNAcentral's name for it is "bacterial SSU rRNA". It matches the Rfam family "Bacterial small subunit ribosomal RNA", at positions 8 to 334 of the family's 1533-position model. The record is from RNAcentral.
AGAGUUUGAUUCUGGCUCAGGAUGAACGCUAGCUACAGGCUUAACACAUGCAAGUCGAGGGGAAACGACAUCGAAAGCUUGCUUUUGAUGGGCGUCGACCGGCGCACGGGUGAGUAACGCGUAUCCAACCUGCCCACCACUUGGGGAUAACCUUGCGAAAGUAAGAUUAAUACCUGAUGGUAUCUUAAGCACACAUGUAAUUAAGAUUAAAGAUUUAUCGGUGUACGAUGGGGAUGCGUUCCAUUAGAUAGUAGGCGGGGUAACGGCCCACCUAGCCAACGAUGGAUAGGGGUUCUGAGAGGAAGGUCCCCCACAUUGGAACUGAGACACGGUCCAA